GCCGACAAGCCUCUUGCCCAGAGUAACCGCUGAGGACGUGGUUCGCGCUCGCCCUCUAGUGGCUCCCGCCGACAGGGAGAGGAUGUGGCCGACAAACGCGGUUCCCGGAGGUUUGGGCGGGAAAAGUCGUCUUUGUAGUUUUCGGUUUUUUGGAGUAGAAAUAACUCACAAGUCCCUCCACCCUCCAGGAGCGAUGGAACAUGGCUACCCUCUGGAAACUGGUUAUACUUUGAAGAAUAAAUGAGAAUUGAAAGGUUAUGUAAAUAAGCUGGUAAAAGAAACAACACGUGUGUGUGUGUGUGUGUGUGUGUGUGUGUGUGUGUGUGUGUUAGAAUGGAGAAAUCCAAGGACUGCAACAUGUAACAAUCCCAUUUGUUGAAAAAUUAAACAAAGAUUUAGCUGUUUGAAAUCACAUUACAAACAGGGAAAGAAUGCAAGGGUUAGCUUUACAUAUCUAUGUGUUGCAUUAAUGUGCAUUAACAUUUUUAUAGUUGUUACUCCAUAACUUGCCUCUUCAGAUCACUGAACCUGGGAGGAAAAGGUAACUAGAUGCUUGUACAUACGCAGUCAUUACUUUUAAUUAAGUACUACAAAAUGCUAACACUAUUGAUUAAGAGAAGGAUGUAAAUACAAGUGAUCAAAGGGGACUUUAAAAUGGCAGCAUAAUGUUUUUCAAUCAAUCAUCUUGAUUCUGUCAAGUGAAAGUAAUUCUUUUAUAUAACAGCUAUGUCUUGAACAACAAAACACGGACAUGUGUUAGUUUAGCAUUAACACACCCAAACUACUGCAUGGGGUAAAAAGCUCAUUGUUUUGAAUUAUCCUGGGUGGGAACUUAACAUACCAUCAUGUUCUGGAUGGCCUUAUGACUUAAUUUUGGCUGUCACAUCAUAACAUAAAAUCUAUUCCUUUUUUUAAAAAACCUUUUGAAAUUCCCAUGGCCCUAAUUAUAAAACAAUCAGAUUUUUUUUAAAGGAAUUGUACUACUUCAGACUUUGGCAUGUUCAAUGAAAAGGUUGCAUCAGGUUUUUUUUUAAUUGGACUUAAAUUGUUAAAUUGUUUUAGCUUCUGUUCAUUUCUGACAAAGGGCCAAACCAUAUGACCUCUCCAUGUGUGGCCAUUUGCUUGUUUUCUAAGUCCAGACUGUGAGGAAUCUGUUGUUUGCCUAAGAGAGUGUUGUGAAUAGGUCAUCACUGAUUUCCAGAAUGGCUAAUGGUUAUGCCCAGCAAUAUUAGGGAGAGUUGGCAUGACAUUGUAGUCUGCACACAAUAUAUUCAGAUCUAUUUGCCACUAGAUGGACGCAAUCUGAAUGUGUUUUAAAAAAAAGUAAAAGGAAAAAUUCUUUGUACACAAAACAGCAUGUAUGAAGAACCAUAAGGUGGCACUAUAACUUAAGAAAGUUUAAUCUAAAUUCACACAUGCAAAUGUUCUCUUCAAAUAGCUUUAAAAUACAGCUAAUAAUAACAGCAGUGAUUCAUAUGUUACAGGUUGCUUGGUAACUUGAAAAAAGUAGUAUUCCAAAAUUAUUAAUGAGAACACAUGAAAUAAACUUGUUUCAGUGCAAAGGGUGUGCCUGCCUAGUUGUAGCAACCAUUCAGUGUUGUGUGAAUAUUUAUUUUGCAUGUUAGUUUGCAGUAUUAUUUGGGGAGGGGGUUCAACAGUUAAACCAGUUUUCUCUCUUUUCCCUAGAGAUCCAGUAUUUCCAGUUGGGUUUGCAUUCUAUGCCCAAUUGUCAGGAUUAGUAUUCAAGCACAUGUCAAUUGUGCAGUAAACUUUAGUGGUAAGCAAGAAACAGCAGAACUGAGCACAAUGGUUAAUAUCUCAAGACACCUGCAAUAAAGUCCUUGGGAAAGAGCAGAGAGGAACAGCUUGGAAGACUAAUAGGGAAAAGAGAACGUACUAUAAAGUGCAGUUAAUGCAGUAUAAUCCUGAAAAAAGAGAUAACUGGAAACUUAGUAUCUCUAUGCUAAUUCAAUGAUUUAAUGAAUGGGAUGUCAUGUUCAUAGCAAGAGAAGUGCAAUGUAGCUUUAGUGAAGGCACCCUGAAUUUACUGAAGAGAUAUGGCAGGAAUAUGUAUUGUGCUGUAGACAUACAGAAUAAAUGUUUUUAUGAAUAUGUUAUAAAAUAAAUAUGUUUUCAUGUAUUUCAGUAAAAAUUCUAUGCAACUAAAAGAAAAGAGCUUAUUAAAUGUUGAGGAAAUGGAAAAA
Long non-coding RNA from Varanus komodoensis (Komodo dragon), 2204 nucleotides. RefSeq lists it as uncharacterized. Lineage: Eukaryota; Metazoa; Chordata; Lepidosauria; Squamata; Varanidae. The transcript is spliced from 3 exons. The record is from RefSeq and is a predicted model, not a curated record.